This 484-nucleotide ribosomal RNA is filed under the name uncultured bacterium. Its description in RNAcentral is "partial 16S ribosomal RNA". It matches the Rfam family "Bacterial small subunit ribosomal RNA", at positions 29 to 507 of the family's 1533-position model. The record is from RNAcentral.
AUUGAACGCUGGCGGCAUGCUUUACACAUGCAAGUCGAACGGCAGCGCGGGCUUCGGCCUGGCGGCGAGCGGCGAACGGGUGAGUAAUACAUCGGAACGUGCCCAGUAGUGGGGGAUAGCUCGGCGAAAGCCGGAUUAAUACCGCAUACGACCUGAGGGUGAAAGCGGGGGAUCUUCGGACCUCGCGCUAUUGGAGCGGCCGAUGGCAGAUUAGCUAGUUGGUGGGGUAAAGGCCUACCAAGGCGACGAUCUGUAGCUGGUCUGAGAGGACGACCAGCCACACUGGGACUGAGACACGGCCCAGACUCCUACGGGAGGCAGCAGUGGGGAAUUUUGGACAAAGGGCGAAAGCCUGAUCCAGCAAUGCCGCGUGUGUGAUGAAGGCCUUCGGGUUGUAAAGCACUUUUGGCGGGAACGAAAAGGACUGUGCCAAUACCACGGUUCGAUGACGGUACCCGCAGAAUAAGCACCGGCUAACUACGUG